AAAUGAAUUGACGGGGGCCCGCACAAGCGGUGGAGUAUGUGGUUUAAUUCGAUGCAACGCGAAGAACCUUACCAGGGCUUGACAUCCCCCUGACCGGUGUAGAGAUACAUCUUCUGUCUUCGGACAGCAGGGGAGACAGGUGGUGCAUGGCUGUCGUCAGCUCGUGUCGUGAGAUGUUGGGUUAAGUCCCGCAACGAGCGCAACCCUUGUCUUUAGUUGCCAGCAUUAAGUUGGGCACUCUAGAGAGACUGCCGGUGACAAAUCGGAGGAAGGUGAGGUUGACGUCAAGUCAUCAUGCCCCUUAUGUCCUGGGCUACACACGUACUACAAUGGCUGGUACAGAGGGCAGCGAAAGGGUGACCUGGAGCGAAUCUCAUAAAGCCAGUCUCAGUUCGGAUUGCAGUCUGCAACUCGACUGCAUGAAGUCGGAAUCGCUAGUAAUCUCUGGUCAGCAUACAGAGGUGAAUACGUUCCCGGGCCUUGUACACACCGCCCGU
This 497-nucleotide ribosomal RNA is filed under the name uncultured bacterium. RNAcentral's name for it is "bacterial SSU rRNA". It matches the Rfam family "Bacterial small subunit ribosomal RNA", at positions 903 to 1397 of the family's 1533-position model. The record is from RNAcentral.